GGAAGGAUCAUUAACACGUAUCCAACGUUAAACCCCCCUGUGAACUUUUAUACUUGCUCUCGUAGCCCGCCGGAAUUGCAAUCCCUGGUAAAUCAUUGUUGAACAGAUUUUGAUUCAGGGACCUCAGUUUGGUGAGAAGUUACAGUUACGAUUGAGCGAUCGUUGCAAGUGGCCUGGUUUCCCCAAGCAGUCAGUGUCUGAAAGUGUCAUUGAUUGUGUAAGGAUAACGCUUUUCGAUCACCAGAGGCCGAACACCGGCCGGUGACCAGGUCGCCGUGGCUUCGGCCCCCUAUAUUCACCCCACUACCUGAUUCCGCCUCGUAGGAAACUGCUGGGCAACAAAACGAACAACUGUUAACAAUGGAUAUCUUGGUUCUCGCAACGAUGAAGAACGCAGCGAAAUGCGAUACGUAAUGCGAAUUGCAGAAUUCAGUGAAUCAUCGAAUCUUUGAACGCAAAUUGCGCUCUCGGGUUACCCCCAAGAGCACACCUCUCUGAGUGUCGGUUUAACCAAAUGUCACCAAUUUAUUGGUGUACGACAGACUGAGGGUAAGGGGUUUCGGCCUCUUUCCCUUUAAAUCUCAGCCUCACGACUGUGUGUGUUCGUGGCAAGUUGCUUUCACUUAACUGUGAAUCCAAUCCACAAACCCUACGUUGUGUAGCCAAAAGAAACAAAUGAACAAAGGUGUGAACCGAGAAACACGUUUCUGCAGCAAUGUGGGAGUGUGGGUUUUGGUGAACGGCUUUGCGCAUCUAUGAAUUAGACCUCAGAUGAAGUGGGAAGACCCCCUGAAUUUAAGCAUAUUAUUAAGGGGAGGAAAAGAAACUAACAAGGAUUCCCCUAGUAACGGCGAGUGAAGCGGGAAGAGCUCAAAUUUAAAAUCCAUUGGUCUAACAGCCCGUGGAGUUGUAAUCUAGAGUGGCUCUCUCAGUGCCAGCCUGGUUAUAAGUCCCUUGAAACGGGGCAUCAAAGAGGGUGAGAAUCCCGUAUUUGAGCCGGAGCUAAGUACGUACGAGGAGUUUACUAAGAGUCGCGUUGCUUGGGAGUGCAGCGCUAAUUGGGUGGUAAAGUUCAUCUAAAGCUAAAUACUGGCGAGAGACCGAUAGCGAACAAGUACCGUGAGGGAAAGAUGAAAAGAACUUUGAAAAGAGAGUUAAAAAGUACUUGAAAUUGUUAACAGGGAAGGGGAGUCAACCAGUCAUUUCUAAGCUUCAUUCGCUUUUCCUUCGGGAGGGGUUACUUGAGGCUAAGAAGGGUCAGCAUCACUUAGGAUCUUCGCAGAAACUGUAUGAGUUGGUGCGUUUCUUCGGAUUCGUUUAACUUGUGCAAUCUACGUUGGUGCUGGGUGAGGAGUGAAAACCCCCCGCCUUCGGGUGUCGGUACUUUGAGGUCUGUUUGCCCUAGCGCGUGAGAGAACAAAGUUCUGUCUGUGCGAAAGGUGAAUACUGCUUUGGAUGUACUAGAUGGUGGGUUCGCGAUGCAGACGAAAUGGUUGUCUUCCACCCGUCUUGAAACACGGACCAAGGAGUCUAACAUAUAUGCGAGUAUUUGGGUGACAAACCCUGAUGCGUAAUGAAAGUAAAGAGCUGCAAAGCUUGAGGUAGGAAUCUCUCCUUCGGGGGGGAGGCACUAUCGACCGAUCGUUCGCUUGCGGAAGAUUUGAGUAAUAGCAUAUCUGUUGGGACCCGAAAGAUGGUGAUCUAUGCCUGAACAGGGUGAAGCCAGGGGAAACUCUGGUGGAAGCUCGUAGCGAUACUGACGUGCAAAUCGUUCGUCUGAUUUGGGUAUAGGGGCGAAAGACUAAUCGAACCAUCUAGUAGCUGGUUCCCUC
RNAcentral lists this unclassified non-coding RNA (1832 nucleotides) under uncultured fungus. RNAcentral describes it as "sequence contains 18S rRNA gene, ITS1, 5.8S rRNA gene, ITS2, 28S rRNA gene". The stretch from base 763 to 1832 matches the Rfam family "Eukaryotic large subunit ribosomal RNA", at positions 1 to 961 of the family's 3401-position model. The record is from RNAcentral. Lineage: Eukaryota; Fungi.